Molecule: ribosomal RNA, 376 nt
Filed under: uncultured bacterium
Lineage: Bacteria
Description: bacterial SSU rRNA
Rfam family: Bacterial small subunit ribosomal RNA
Source: RNAcentral
UACGUAGGGGGCAAGCGUUGUCCGGAUUUAUUGGGCGUAAAGCGCUCGCAGGCGGCUCGCGGCGUCGUGCGUGAAACACCCCGGCUCAACUGGGGAGGGUCGUGCGAUACGGGCGGGCUGGAGGCCAGUAGGGGGACGUGGAAUUCCGGGUGUAGUGGUGGAAUGCGUAGAGAUCCGGAGGAACACCAGCGGCGAAGGCGGCGUCCUGGACUGGUACUGACGCUCAGGAGCGAAAGCGUGGGGAGCGAUCCGGAUUAGAUACCCGGGUAGUCCACGCUGUAAACGAUGCGGACUAGGUGUCGGGGGUAUCGACCCCCUCGGUGCCGCAGCUAACGCGCUAAGUCCGCCGCCUGGGGACUACGGCCGCAAGGCUAAA